RNAcentral lists this transfer RNA (919 nucleotides) under Bradyrhizobium sp. RNAcentral's name for it is "partial 16S-23S ribosomal RNA intergenic spacer". The stretch from base 353 to 425 matches the Rfam family "tRNA". The record is from RNAcentral. Lineage: Bacteria; Pseudomonadati; Pseudomonadota; Alphaproteobacteria; Hyphomicrobiales; Nitrobacteraceae.
UGCGGCUGGAUCACCUCCCUUUCUAAAGGAUGAUCCUUCAGCUGAGCUCAAGCUCACUAUCCGGUAUGCGUGGUUUAGAAACAUUCAGGGGCCAACAGUUUCAGGAUUGUUGAGCUCCAUUGGCGGGAUUUCGCCGUCUUCGUUUCUCUUUCUUCGCGGACGAACACGCGCCAGGGGCUGAGCGCUGGGCGGUGCAUCGACUUCACGUCGGUUGCGCGCCGGCAUGUCUCUCGUGUUAGGGGGCUUGUAGCUCAGUUGGUUAGAGCGCGCGCUUGAUAAGAGUGAGGUCGGAAGUUCAAGUCUUCCCAGGCCCACCAUUUUGAUCGAGUGCGGAGCAUUCGUCUUCUGGUACGGGGCCAUAGCUCAGCUGGGAGAGCGCGUGCUUUGCAAGCAUGAGGUCGUCGGUUCGAUCCCGUCUGGCUCCACCAGAUGGAAUUGAAGCUCGAGAAUGCGCCUUGUGCAGGAAGCUCUGUUCAUUUCGUCCGCGAAACAUCACUUCGCACUCAUUGGUCCGGAUGGACGGUGACGUGCGUGUUUUCUGACAUCGUAAAGAGGAGAUCGAUCCGAGUUUGGAUCUGCGAAGCAAUUCGCGGGUGCCAUUCCUAAUCUCCAGAUCGUUUUCGGCGCUCGCGCAUCGCGGCUCAUCGCAAGAUGAGUGGGAUUGGCGAGUUGUAAAACGAUCUUUGUAGCGAAGCUUGACCGCCUCGCUAAUCGGGCCGAUCUUACGAAGCAAGCUUGGUCUUUCUAGUCAAUGUCCGGCUGCGCAAUCGCAUUCAUUCGAGGAUGCGUGCCUUCAGUGGCAGUUGUGCAGACAACAUUCUGCCGGAGUGUGUGGACAUUGAUAAUGAGACGCAAUCAAGGUGCCUAAUUGGGUGUUCGGUGGAUGCCUUGCCAAUUGGGUGUUCAAGGUGGAUGUCCU